GAUGACAGAGUCUUUAUUUAGCGAUGUUAACUAGUCCUUGAACCACUGAGACCCGUCUGAGUCUGAAUCAGGCCUUUUUCAGUAUUGGUGUCUCCUGGAUGCGGCGGGUAAAAAUAUCUGCGAUCAACAUAUUUUGAUUACUGAAGUGGAACAUUCCAGAAAUUCCCUUCCGCAAACUCACAAGGAUGAAAAAUUCUGGAGCGUUUUACAGAACACAGUCGCCUGAUGACAAACAAACUGCGUUCGGCUACACAGACACGGGAGACAUUUAUUAGCAGCAGGAGUUUUAUUGAAAUAUCAAACAGUUCUGCAUUCAGUGACAGAGACGAUUCUGUCGGCUGGAAGUAAACUGAAGCUGCAGGCCUGUAAAAUAAAGUUCCGCUCCCGUCUGCCUUUGGAGGAAAACAUAUGUUCGUUGAAGUUCAAGAUGGAUGCUCUCGGAUGGAUUGGUUGUCACUCAAUGUACUCAUUGUGGGAAGUGCUGACGUUGUUUUGAGAAGAUGGUCAGUGCUUUUUGAUUCAGUUCUGGG
Ctenopharyngodon idella (grass carp) is the source of this 530-nucleotide long non-coding RNA. RefSeq lists it as uncharacterized. The transcript has 3 exons. The record is from RefSeq and is a predicted model, not a curated record. Lineage: Eukaryota; Metazoa; Chordata; Actinopteri; Cypriniformes; Xenocyprididae.